This 270-nucleotide long non-coding RNA is filed under the name Gorilla gorilla gorilla (western lowland gorilla). RNAcentral's name for it is "lncRNA (ENSGGOG00000044683.1)". The record is from RNAcentral. Lineage: Eukaryota; Metazoa; Chordata; Mammalia; Primates; Hominidae.
GGAGCAGAGGCAUUUAGCUGUGUAAACACAGAGCUUCAGUGGCAGCACCCUAAAUGCUUAGCUGAUAGAUCCGGAAUUAAAUACAGACCUAGAAACUGGAGUUGGAAAACUUCCUGGCAGCACUCCUUCCCUGCCAUCCCGGUGAUCCCCUUCUGGAUGGAGGGCGUGGAGCUCAGCACAUUCACGUCUGCAGUUCUCAGAGAACCAAGUGUUAAGGAAUGUCAGGGAAGGAAGAAGGCAGCCAGCCAGGAAGGGGAGGUCCUGGCCUGA